GGCCCUAUCGUCUAGUGGUUAGGACAACAGGUUUUCAUCCUGUAAACAGGGGUUCGAUUCCCCUUAGGGCUACCA
This 75-nucleotide transfer RNA is filed under the name Candidatus Moraniibacteriota bacterium. Its description in RNAcentral is "Candidatus Moranbacteria bacterium (sediment metagenome) tRNA-Glu". It matches the Rfam family "tRNA". From Rfam's summary of the family: Transfer RNA (tRNA) molecules are approximately 80 nucleotides in length. Their secondary structure includes four short double-helical elements and three loops (D, anti-codon, and T loops). Lineage: Bacteria; Candidatus Moraniibacteriota. The record is from RNAcentral.